GGUGGAGGAGGGAGGAGGUAGUUCCUCGACCCUCGUUGUCAUAGCAACAACAAAGGUGGAGCGAUAUUUUAACAGCGGGGUUGGAUUGUUUGUUGGUUGAAGUCACGUGACGCGCCGCUGGGGAAUGGGGCUCUUCCUGUUUUACUCUACUGAGACCGACUCGAGACGCUGUUGUCAGUUUCAACAAAAUGGCUGCUGGAGCGCCACAAACGAAAACCCAGUGAACGCUUCACGUCAGCGCAGUAUCCUUUUCAAUGGAUGCAUUGGAAUUUCCCUACCUUUUGAGCAUCGGGACAUUUAACUCGCGUGGGCUCGUUUACAUGCGUGUUUGCGAACUAAAGGCAUGCUGAGAUAUUCCCUUCACGCACUUUAUUUACAUCCAAAAGCAUACAAAAGCUCAAGCUGCCAGUGCGCGCGCGCGCGCGUCUGUGUGGGUGUGCGCGCGUGUGUAGCUGCUCCUGAGGAUCGCCGAAAUGUUACAGAUGAUCAACCCUAAUCUUGCUUGCUGACGUGCAAAACUGUCGUUUAAUGUCCUUUUCACUGUUUGCACUGGUAUUUCAGAGUUCCCCCCACCCACCCCCCUCUCUGGACAGAUUCCACUGCAUAAUGAGAUGUGAAUUUCUCAACUGGAAAGUCGGGCUCGCCAUUGCAGCUCACUGCAAGAGUGAGUGAGUGAGUAGGAUCUGCUCUUGAGUGUCAGUACGGGUAUCGACAACAUCCUCCUUCACCACGCAGCUCAUGCAUCACAUUUAAACAGCAGACCGCAGGUGCUCCGUGUGCGAAAUUAAGCCUUGGCACAAAACACGUCACACAAGAGGAGAACCAUUUGAUGGAAGAAAAGAAAAAGAAAAAGCAAGAGGAAAAGAAAAAGAAGGAAGCUGCUCAGAAAAAGGCUGCUGAACAGAAAACCAAAGGUCAGUUAUGAUUUUCUUUGUGAUGCUGCAAUGAAGCAUGAAGUUAAAAAAAUGUUUAGGAUCUUCACCAUAUGCAUAAGUUUGUACCACAUGCAUUUCCUCAAACACUACUAGAGCAGCAAAACAAGAAGUUACAUGUGCUCCAGAAAUGUAAAAUGCUAACUGGCUAGUGCAUCUUUAUAAUGUGAGAGUAGAGAAGGUGUAAAGAAUACAUUUGAUCAGGGUUUGUGCAGUUAUUUACUGUAUGUGGGCGAACUGAAUGAAUUGGCACAAGACUGUGCAACAAACAGUUGGUAGAGACCAAUCUGCCAUGUUUGCUAACUGCUGAGGGAUUUAGACAUUUGUGCUUUUAAACAUUUAAACGGUAAAUGAUAUAGAGCAGUUGUAACUGGCCCUGCAGUAAAACAGAAUUAUAUUCCUUAAUGUAAUGUCAACUUAUUUGUAAUGACUUAUUCACAAACAUGAUGCUGAACAUAAAAUAUUUUACGUACAUUGCUCACAGUUUUUAUUAGUAUUAUUAUCGUUAUGGAAAUCUGCCAAAAUUAUAAAAGUGUUAAAUUCACACUAACUAAUAAUAGUGUUAGCAAUACCAAUCUAUCCAUUUCCUCAUACCCUAAAUUGUGAGUUGUGUUUGAUAAGAAUUCUGUGGUGGAAAUAACAUUUCAAAUAUUUUAAGUGAAAAUCCCGAUUUAAAAUGGCUAACUCCUUUGUCUUGCAAAGUUUGAUUUCAUAGCUCUCUUUUUAUUCAUCCUGAAUGCACACAAUUAAAAAAUUUCUUUAAAUUUUUACACUUAUGUUUU
Molecule: long non-coding RNA, 1714 nt
Organism: Cyprinus carpio carpio
Lineage: Eukaryota; Metazoa; Chordata; Actinopteri; Cypriniformes; Cyprinidae
Source: Ensembl